Non-coding RNA from Malus domestica (apple), 228 nucleotides. NCBI's taxonomy places the organism in Eukaryota, Viridiplantae, Streptophyta, Magnoliopsida, Rosales, Rosaceae. The record is from RefSeq.
UCUAUAAAAUGGGAUUUGGAUCCUCUCCUGAGCUUAAGGAGACGAUCCUCCUGACCAACAUAUAUGGGCCGUUGGAGCCGUUGGAUUUUCAUCCAACGGCUACAAAAAUGGAGUCUCUUUAAAGUUAUAAUAAUUAUAGCCGUUGGAUUUUCAUCCAACGAUCCAUAUAUAUUGGUCAGGAGGAUCCUCUCCUUAAGCUCAGGAGAGGAUCCAAAUCCUAUAAAAUGC